AAGCAGCUGAGCACUACGCUUAAGCCCAGACAAAUACCAAAAUACCAUAGGGGGGGUGAGUGUAGUGGGUGUGUGUCAGGGAGGGAUCUAUCUUCUGGGACCACUCCUGGUACCAAUUCCUUAUCAGUCAGGGUCCUAGUAGGAGACAGAAACUACAUAGGAAUUUCAUCAGGGAAGGUUAAUGUAAAGAACUAUUUACAGAGAGAAUAUACUAAUGGAUAAGGAAUACCCUGAAGCUGAGGAAGAGUAGCCAGGGAAGGAAUAAACUUGGAAGAGCAGCCCCUUCCCCAGGCUGGAGUUCACAUCUCCUUCCUGAGGACCAGGCUGCAGCCCACAGGAUGGAGAAGCGCCCUAGGUGCAGGGGCCAGAGCUGGCCCAAAGUGGGUGAGCCGACGGUACUGAGCAGAAAGCCUCCCGUGGGGUGCCACAGGCAGAGCAAUGGGCUGAGGACUGGCAAUAAAACUUGCUAGAGGCUUUUGUUUCCAAGUGCCUAUUAGUGACUGUGUACAUGAGGCACGACAGAGCUAAGCGAUACUUGAGAGACAACGGGUCCACUGAGAACGAAAUGCAGUUGGAGGCCGUGCAGUUCAAGUCCCGAGCAGCAUUCCCAUGCACAGCCCUCCCUGGGGAAUGCGGCCAGUCCCCGCAGACUCGGCUCCCCUCUCCAGAAUCAUCAGGUCAAGUCAUGGCUUUGUCACACUGUGGGAGCCUGAAGGAGCUGCAAGGCCACUGCUGACGGGAGCCUCAGUCCAAGCUCAUCACUGCGG
This 767-nucleotide long non-coding RNA is filed under the name Equus asinus (donkey). RNAcentral describes it as "lncRNA (ENSEASG00005037633.1)". Lineage: Eukaryota; Metazoa; Chordata; Mammalia; Perissodactyla; Equidae. The record is from RNAcentral.